RNAcentral lists this ribosomal RNA (250 nucleotides) under uncultured Caldilineae bacterium. Its description in RNAcentral is "partial 16S ribosomal RNA". It matches the Rfam family "Bacterial small subunit ribosomal RNA", at positions 524 to 773 of the family's 1533-position model. The record is from RNAcentral. Lineage: Bacteria; Bacillati; Chloroflexota; Caldilineae.
UACGUAGGUGGCGAGCGUUAUCCGGAAUUACUGGGCGUAAAGCGCAAGCAGGCGGCUUAUUAAGUUUGACGUGAAAUCUCCCGGCUUAACCGGGAGGAGCCGUUGAAAACUGAUACGCUUGAGGCGAUGAGAGGGGUGUGGAAUUCCCGGUGUAGUGGUGGAAUGCGUAGAUAUCGGGAGGAACACCAGAGGCGAAAGCGACACCCUGGCAUUUGCCUGACGCUGAGAUGCGAAAGCGUGGGGAGCAAAC